UGCUUCCGAGCAGGCCAAGUACUCUCACUCGCCUCCAAUCUCUUAAUCACAUCGCGCAGUAACUCAGGCGGGAGGCUAGCCCAACAACUGUUCUGGAUGACCACAGGCUGGUCAUGCAACUCACUCACUGAACUAUGAGAUUUCCCUCUAUGAUGACCUGACAGCCUCAGAUCAAAACUCCGCCUUGAUAAACUCACGUCACGAACUAUACUACGGAAUGACAUUGCUGCAAGACUCUUGUAGCCCUAACUGGAUAGAUCCUUUAAUAUGGUUGCAUAAAAGAAAUUUACACUUGAGUCAACAGAUGACUCCAGACCAUAUCAAUGGUGCACAACUUUAUACCACAAGCACUGCUGAAAAAAUCGAUGUUUCACCUUAAUCUUCAGUUAUUCACUGAGCGAGCAAAUGGAAACCAAGAUCCCUUCUUUUAACACGAACUCACCGUCUUUCUCUGUAACAGAUCCUUAGCUUUACCACACGGUUUCUCUCUCUCUAGUUUUUUUUCUCUCUCUAAAGAAAAGUGUACAGACGGA
RNAcentral lists this unclassified non-coding RNA (533 nucleotides) under Hevea brasiliensis (rubber tree). The record is from RNAcentral. Lineage: Eukaryota; Viridiplantae; Streptophyta; Magnoliopsida; Malpighiales; Euphorbiaceae.